GGUAAACGUUUGUAUCCAGCUUGCAGGUAAAGGGUUACAGAUUCUAGGAAGUAUUAAAUGCAAACUUUAAAGGAUUUUAUUUUCAUCUACAGUCACAUGACACCUUAAUACCCAAUGACACUAACUACAGUAUCUCAUUAAGAGGUCAUGCAAACUCCCAAGCUAAACAAGGCAUUCUUACAUAUUUAACAUUCAAAUGCAGAAGCCAAGCUAAGCCAUGGAAGAUUGUAAUCAGAAAAGAGCUGCACUUCCUGAUCAGCAAAAAAGCUACAGGUUCUUUAAACAAGAGACAGAUUGCUAGUAUUUUGGCCUGAAAUCUGAAGGUAAGCAAUCAGAAAAAUUCUAACACCCAGUCUAAGAACAGGAAAUUGUUACAGAAGUGGAAAACUUAGGAUGCAGAACUUUCAUCCCAGAUUUCUGGGAGAUCUUUAUCUGUAAAGGAGUACGCAAACACAGACAGAGUAAAUUGACGCUGCAUUACGUGCCUUGCAGAGCCAUAUGCUGUUGUCACAGACACUGCCAAUAAAGCUCAAAGUUUCCUGUGCA
RNAcentral lists this long non-coding RNA (546 nucleotides) under Dromaius novaehollandiae (emu). RNAcentral's name for it is "lncRNA (ENSDNVG00000007583.1)". The record is from RNAcentral. Lineage: Eukaryota; Metazoa; Chordata; Aves; Casuariiformes; Dromaiidae.